CAGGCGUCGAGCGGCGGACGGGUGAGUAAUGCAUAGGAAUCUGCCCGGUAGUGGGGGAUAACCUGGGGAAACCCAGGCUAAUACCGCAUACGUCCUACGGGAGAAAGCAGGGGAUCUUCGGACCUUGCGCUAUCGGAUGAGCCUAUGUCGGAUUAGCUUGUUGGUGAGGUAAUGGCUCACCAAGGCGACGAUCCGUAGCUGGUCUGAGAGGAUGAUCAGCCACAUCGGGACUGAGACACGGCCCGAACUCCUACGGGAGGCAGCAGUGGGGAAUAUUGGACAAUGGGCGAAAGCCUGAUCCAGCCAUGCCGCGUGUGUGAAGAAGGCUUUCGGGUUGUAAAGCACUUUCAGUGAGGAAGAAGGCCUUGGGGCUAAUACCCCCGAGGAAGGACAUCACUCACAGAAGAAGCACCGGCUAACUCCGUGCCAGCAGCCGCGGUAAUACGGAGGGUGCGAGCGUUAAUCGGAAUUACUGGGCGUAAAGCGCGCGUAGGCGGCGUGAUAAGCCGGUUGUGAAAGCCCCGGGCUCAACCUGGGAACGGCAUCCGGAACUGUCAGGCUAGAGUGCAGGAGAGGAAGGUAGAAUUCCCGGUGUAGCGGUGAAAUGCGUAGAGAUCGGGAGGAAUACCAGUGGCGAAGGCGGCCUUCUGGACUGACACUGACGCUGAGGUGCGAAAGCGUGGGUAGCAAACAGGAUUAGAUACCCUGGUAGUCCACGCCGUAAACGAUGUCGACUAGCCGUUGGGGUCCUAGAGACCUUUGUGGCGCAGUUAACGCGAUAAGUCGACCGCCUGGGGAGUACGGCCGCAAGGUUAAAACUCAAAUGAAUUGACGGGGGCCCGCACAAGCGGUGGAGCAUGUGGUUUAAUUCGAUGCAACGCGAAGAACCUUACCUACCCUUGACAUCGUGCGAACUUUCCAGAGAUGGAUUGGUGCCUUCGGGAACGCACAGACAGGUGCUGCAUGGCUGUCGUCAGCUCGUGUUGUGAAAUGUUGGGUUAAGUCCCGUAACGAGCGCAACCCUUGUCCCUAUUUGCCAGCGAUUCGGUCGGGAACUCUAGGGAGACUGCCGGUGACAAACCGGAGGAAGGUGGGGACGACGUCAAGUCAUCAUGGCCCUUACGGGUAGGGCUACACACGUGCUACAAUGGCCGGUACAAAGGGUUGCAAAGCCGCGAGGUGGAGCUAAUCCCGAAAAGCCGGUCUCAGUCCGGAUCGGAGUCUGCAACUCGACUCCGUGAAGUCGGAAUCGCUAGUAAUCGUGAAUCAGAAUGUCACGGUGAAUACGUUCCCGGGCCUUGUACACACCGCCCGUCACACCAUGGGAGUGGACUGC
RNAcentral lists this ribosomal RNA (1336 nucleotides) under bacterium YC-LKJ23. RNAcentral's name for it is "bacterial SSU rRNA". It matches the Rfam family "Bacterial small subunit ribosomal RNA", at positions 85 to 1418 of the family's 1533-position model. The record is from RNAcentral.